RNAcentral lists this ribosomal RNA (404 nucleotides) under uncultured Gammaproteobacteria bacterium. RNAcentral describes it as "bacterial SSU rRNA". It matches the Rfam family "Bacterial small subunit ribosomal RNA", at positions 355 to 776 of the family's 1533-position model. Lineage: Bacteria; Pseudomonadati; Pseudomonadota; Gammaproteobacteria. RNAcentral also lists the same sequence under 1 other name. The record is from RNAcentral.
UGGAGAAUCUUGGACAAUGGGCGCAAGCCUGAUCCAGCCAUGCCGCGUGAGCGAAGAAGGCCUUAGGGUCGUAAAACUCUUUCAGCUGUGAAGAUAAUGACGGUAGCAGCAGAAGAAACCCCGGCUAACUCCGUGCCAGCAGCCGCGGUAAUACGGAGGGGGUUAGCGUUGUUCGGAAUUACUGGGCGUAAAGCGCACGUAGGCGGGUUCGUAAGUCAGGGGUGAAAUCCCGGGGCUCAACCCCGGAACUGCCCUUGAUACUGCGGGCCUUGAGUUCGAGAGAGGUGAGUGGAAUUCCGAGUGUAGAGGUGAAAUUCGUAGAUAUUCGGAGGAACACCAGUGGCGAAGGCGGCUCACUGGCUCGAUACUGACGCUGAGGUGCGAAAGCGUGGGGAGCAAACAGG